This 77-nucleotide transfer RNA is filed under the name Janthinobacterium sp. ROICE36. RNAcentral's name for it is "tRNA-Met". It matches the Rfam family "tRNA". Rfam says of the family: Transfer RNA (tRNA) molecules are approximately 80 nucleotides in length. The record is from RNAcentral. Lineage: Bacteria; Pseudomonadati; Pseudomonadota; Betaproteobacteria; Burkholderiales; Oxalobacteraceae.
GGUGAUAUAGCUCAGUUGGUUAGAGCACAGCAUUCAUAAUGCUGGGGUCGGUGGUUCAAGCCCCCCUAUCACCACCA